This 253-nucleotide ribosomal RNA is filed under the name uncultured bacterium. RNAcentral describes it as "partial 16S ribosomal RNA". It matches the Rfam family "Bacterial small subunit ribosomal RNA", at positions 524 to 776 of the family's 1533-position model. The record is from RNAcentral.
UACGGAGGGGGCUAGCGUUGUUCGGAAUUACUGGGCGUAAAGCGCACGUAGGCGGAUUGACAAGUCAGAGGUGAAAUCCCAGGGCUCAACCUUGGAACUGCCUUUGAAACUGUUUGUCUUGAGGUCGAGAGAGGUGAGUGGAAUUCCGAGUGUAGAGGUGAAAUUCGUAGAUAUUCGGAGGAACACCAGAGGCGAAGGCGGCUCACUGGCUCGAUACUGACGCUGAGGUGCGAAAGCGUGGGGAGCAAACAGG